RNAcentral lists this transfer RNA (75 nucleotides) under Candidatus Saccharimonadota bacterium. RNAcentral's name for it is "tRNA-Trp". It matches the Rfam family "tRNA". Rfam says of the family: Transfer RNA (tRNA) molecules are approximately 80 nucleotides in length. Lineage: Bacteria; Candidatus Saccharimonadota. The record is from RNAcentral.
AGGGGUAUAGUACAACGGUUAGUAUAUGGGUCUCCAAAACCUAGGAUCGUGGUUCGAUUCCACGUACCCCUGCCA